Molecule: microRNA precursor, 240 nt
Filed under: Glycine max (soybean)
Lineage: Eukaryota; Viridiplantae; Streptophyta; Magnoliopsida; Fabales; Fabaceae
Description: miR5766 stem-loop (gma-MIR5766)
Source: miRBase by way of RNAcentral
UGUUCCUUUUCUUGCUUCUACUCACCCCCAUGACCAUUAGUUUAUACUUAGUCCAAGUUGUACUUUAUUUUGCUGUGGAAGAAGAAUAAGACCAAGGUUUUAAUUAGAGCCUCGUUUGUGCAAGUGAAAAAUAGGAUCACAUUGACCUAUUCUUUUUUCAAGCUCUUUUAAUUGUCUUGGGAAGAAAAUGAACCCAGAAAUGAAUGGGGUUGAGGCUGAGAAGAGGCAAGAGAAUGGACA